Anopheles funestus (African malaria mosquito) is the source of this 47-nucleotide non-coding RNA. The record is from Rfam. NCBI's taxonomy places the organism in Eukaryota, Metazoa, Arthropoda, Insecta, Diptera, Culicidae.
ACAUCGGCUCUUAUCAGAGCCACCGGAUAUAUACAAAAAGAUAUUUU